RNAcentral lists this ribosomal RNA (301 nucleotides) under uncultured bacterium. RNAcentral describes it as "partial 16S ribosomal RNA". It matches the Rfam family "Bacterial small subunit ribosomal RNA", at positions 509 to 807 of the family's 1533-position model. The record is from RNAcentral.
CAGCCGCCACGGGAAUACGUAGGUGGCAAGCGUUGUCCGGAAUGACUGGGCGUAAAGGGCGCGUAGGUGGUGUGGACAGUCAGAUGUGAAAUUCCUGGGCUCAACCUGGGGGCUGCAUUUGAUACGUCCAAACUAGAGUGUGGAAGAGGGUCGUGGAAUUCCCAGUGUAGAGGUGAAAUUCGUAGAUAUUGGGAAGAACACCGGUGGCGAAGGCGGCGACCUGGUCCAUUACUGACGCUGAGGCGCGAAAGCGUGGGGAGCAAACAGGAUUAGAUACCCGGGUAGUCCCUGUCUCUUAUAC